RNAcentral lists this ribosomal RNA (491 nucleotides) under uncultured bacterium. Its description in RNAcentral is "partial 16S ribosomal RNA". It matches the Rfam family "Bacterial small subunit ribosomal RNA", at positions 29 to 507 of the family's 1533-position model. The record is from RNAcentral.
GUGAACGCUGGCGGUAGGCCUAACACAUGCAAGUCGAACGGCAGCACAGUAAGAGCUUGCUCUUACGGGUGGCGAGUGGCGGACGGGUGAGGAAUACAUCGGAAUCUACUUUUUCGUGGGGGAUAAGGUAGGGAAACUUACGCUCAUACCGCAUACGACCUACGGGUGAAAGCAGGGGAUAUUCGGACCUUGCGCGAAUGAAUGAGCCGAUGUCGGAUUAGCUAGUUGGCGGGGUAAAGGCCCACCAAGGCGACUAACCGUAGCUGGUCUGCGGGGAUGAUCAGCCACACUGGAACUGAGACACGGUCCAGACUCCUACGGGAGGCAGCAGUGGGGAAUAUUGGACAAUGGGCGCAAGCCUGAUCCAGCCAUACCGCGUGGGUUAAGAAGUCCUUCGGGUUGUAAAGCCCUUUUGUUGGGAAAGAAAAGCAGCAGGUUAAUACCCCGCUGUUCUGACGGUACCCAAAGAAUAAGCACCGGCUAACUUCGUG